This 368-nucleotide RNase P RNA is filed under the name Bifidobacterium ramosum. Its description in RNAcentral is "Bacterial RNase P class A". It matches the Rfam family "Bacterial RNase P class A". Rfam says of the family: Ribonuclease P (RNase P) is a ubiquitous endoribonuclease, found in archaea, bacteria and eukarya as well as chloroplasts and mitochondria. Its best characterised activity is the generation of mature 5'-ends of tRNAs by cleaving the 5'-leader elements of precursor-tRNAs. Cellular RNase Ps are ribonucleoproteins. Lineage: Bacteria; Bacillati; Actinomycetota; Actinomycetes; Bifidobacteriales; Bifidobacteriaceae. The record is from Rfam by way of RNAcentral.
UGAGACCUCUUGAUGGCCGCGGCCCGAUCUUCGAUCCGGGCUGAGGAACUUCCGGGCUCCAUAGAGCACGAUGGCGGAUAACGUCCGCCCAGGGCAACCUGAGAGAUAGCGCAGCAGAGAACAGACCGCCGGCCGCACGGCCGGUAAGGGUGAAACGGCGGUGUAAGAGACCACCGGGCCUCCGGCAACGGCAGGCCGCAUGGCAAGCCUCAUCGGGAGCAAGGCCAAGCAGAAGGCGUUUGAGGGCUGCUCGCCCGAUGCCUUCGGGUAGGCUGCUAGAGCCUGGCGGCGACGUCAGGUCGAGAUGGAUGGCCAUCCGCGCCGCGUAUGCGGCGUGACAGAACCCGGGGUAUAAGAGGUCUCACUUU